UACGGAGGGUGCGAGCGUUAAUCGGAAUUACUGGGCGUAAAGGGUGCGUAGGUGGUAUUGUAAGUUAUCUGUGAAAUUCCUGGGCUUAACCUGGGGUGGUCAGAUAAAACUGCGGUACUCGAGUAUAGGAGAGGGUAGUGGAAUUUCCGGUGUAGCGGUGAAAUGCGUAGAGAUCGGAAGGAACACCAGUGGCGAAGGCGGCUACCUGGCCUGAUACUGACACUGAGGCACGAAAGCGUGGGGAGCAAACAGG
This 253-nucleotide ribosomal RNA is filed under the name uncultured bacterium. RNAcentral's name for it is "partial 16S ribosomal RNA". It matches the Rfam family "Bacterial small subunit ribosomal RNA", at positions 524 to 776 of the family's 1533-position model. The record is from RNAcentral.